ACUCCUACGGGAGGCAGCAGUGGGGAAUAUUGCACAAUGGGGGAAACCCUGAUGCAGCGACGCAGCGUGCGGGAUGACGGCCUUCGGGUUGUAAACCGCUUUCAGCAGGGAAGAAGCCGUAAGGUGACGGUACCUGCAGAAGAAGUACCGGCUAACUACGUGCCAGCAGCCGCGGUAAUACGUAGGGUACGAGCGUUGUCCGGAAUUAUUGGGCGUAAAGAGCUCGUAGGUGGUUGGUCACGUCUGCUGUGGAAACGCAACGCUUAACGUUGGGCGGGCAGUGGGUACGGGCUGACUAGAGUGCAGUAGGGGAGUCUGGAAUUCCUGGUGUAGCGGUGAAAUGCGCAGAUAUCAGGAGGAACACCGGUGGCGAAGGCGGGACUCUGGGCUGUGACUGACACUGAGGAGCGAAAGCAUGGGGAGCGAACAGGAUUAGAUACCCUGGUAGUCCAUGCCGUAAACGUUGGGCACUAGGUGUGGGGGACAUUCCACGUUUUCCGCGCCGUAGCUAACGCAUUAAGUGCCCCGCCUGGGGAGUACGGUCGCAAGGCUAAAACUCAAAGGAAUUGACGG
This 573-nucleotide ribosomal RNA is filed under the name uncultured bacterium. RNAcentral's name for it is "bacterial SSU rRNA". It matches the Rfam family "Bacterial small subunit ribosomal RNA", at positions 335 to 916 of the family's 1533-position model. The record is from RNAcentral.